GAUUAAAUGGCUGAAAUAAAAGCAAUAGACUGUAAAUCUAUGAAUAAGAAUUAUCUUUUUAAUCA
Molecule: transfer RNA, 65 nt
Filed under: Phthiridium szechuanum
Lineage: Eukaryota; Metazoa; Arthropoda; Insecta; Diptera; Nycteribiidae
Description: tRNA-Tyr
Rfam family: tRNA
About the family: Transfer RNA (tRNA) molecules are approximately 80 nucleotides in length. Their secondary structure includes four short double-helical elements and three loops (D, anti-codon, and T loops).
Source: RNAcentral